RNAcentral lists this ribosomal RNA (484 nucleotides) under uncultured bacterium. Its description in RNAcentral is "partial 16S ribosomal RNA". It matches the Rfam family "Bacterial small subunit ribosomal RNA", at positions 30 to 507 of the family's 1533-position model. The record is from RNAcentral.
AUUGAACGCUGGCGGCAGGCCUAACACAUGCAAGUCGAGCGGAUGAAGGGAGCUUGCUCCUGGAUUCAGCGGCGGACGGGUGAGUAAUGCCUAGGAAUCUGCCUGGUAGUGGGGGAUAACGUCCGGAAACGGGCGCUAAUACCGCAUACGUCCUGAGGGAGAAAGUGGGGGAUCUUCGGACCUCACGCUAUCAGAUGAGCCUAGGUCGGAUUAGCUAGUUGGUGGGGUAAAGGCCUACCAAGGCGACGAUCCGUAACUGGUCUGAGAGGAUGAUCAGUCACACUGGUACUGAGACACGGUCCAGACUCCUACGGGAGGCAGCAGUGGGGAAUAUUGGACGAUGGGCGAAUGCCUGAUCCAGCCAUGCCGCGUGUGUGAAGAAGGUCUUCGGAUUGUAAAGCACUUUAAGUUGGGAGAAAGGGCAGUAAGUUAAUACCUUGCUGUUUUGACGUUACCAACAGAAUAAGCACCGGCUAACUUCGUG